CGCGGCCUAUCAGCUUGUUGGUGAGGUAACGGCUCACCAAGGCAUCGACGGGUAGCUGGUCUGAGAGGACGAUCAGCCACACUGGGACUGAGACACGGCCCAGACUCCUGCGGGAGGCAGCAGUGGGGAAUCUUGCGCAAUGGGCGAAAGCCUGACGCAGCAACGCCGCGUGGGGGAUGAAGGCUCUCGGGUUGUAAACCCCUUUCAGCAGGGACGAAAUUGACGGUACCUGCAGAAGAAGCCCCGGCCAACUACGUGCCAGCAGCCGCGGUAACACGUAGGGGGCGAGCGUUGUCCGGAAUUAUUGGGCGUAAAGAGCUCGUAGGCGGUUUAGUAAGUCAGAUGUGAAAGGUUGGGGCUCAACCCUAAGACUGCAUCCGAUACUGCUAUGACUAGAGUCCGGUAGAGGAGUGUGGAAUUCCUGGUGUAGCGGUGAAAUGCGCAGAUAUCAGGAGGAACACCGACGGCGAAGGCAGCACUCUGGGCCGGUACUGACGCUGAGGAGCAAAAGCGUGGGUAGCAAACAGGAUUAGAUACCCUGGUAGUCCACGCCGUAAACGUUGGGCACUAGGUGUGGGGCCUUAUCAACGGGUUCCGUGCCGUAGCUAACGCAUUAAGUGCCCCGCCUGGGGAGUACGG
Molecule: ribosomal RNA, 639 nt
Filed under: uncultured Actinomycetes bacterium
Lineage: Bacteria; Bacillati; Actinomycetota; Actinomycetes
Description: bacterial SSU rRNA
Rfam family: Bacterial small subunit ribosomal RNA
Source: RNAcentral